UCCAAUCACUCACAAAGUUGUUAGUUUCUUCUAUAGUUUUUUUUUCCUUUUUCAGAUUUCAAAUUAAUAUCAAGAAAGUGUUUUGAAUAUUGAUUAUAUAUUUUUUUCUAAUUGAGAUAACACAGAGAAAAUUAAAACUAGAGAGGUUGUAUGCUAGCUAAUUCAAACACUCACAGGGCCUCUCUUUCUCAUGCUCUCCUCUUUCCCUCGCCUCUCUCAAAUUCGCACCUCAUUGAAGCCUCUCUCGGAGUAGCUCAAGAGUGGGUAUAAGUCUUGGUUUCUCCCCUUGUUGCUGAUCUGGUUCUUCGAUCCCCUAUUUCACAAUCAGUUAAAACUUUUCUGGAUGGUUGCCUCCAAGAGAAGAGGCAAGAUACUUUGUGUGCAAGCAAUCUUUCACGGGAGACUCUUACUUUUGUUUGCAUUUUGCAAGUGGUAUGCCUUUUACCUUUGUUUUAAUAUUAUGCUAAUGUUAGAUGAGUUUGAAUAUCUUAAAUAUUCAUCCAUAGUGAAGU
This is a long non-coding RNA of Humulus lupulus (European hop), 512 nucleotides long. RefSeq lists it as uncharacterized. The transcript has 3 exons. Lineage: Eukaryota; Viridiplantae; Streptophyta; Magnoliopsida; Rosales; Cannabaceae. The record is from RefSeq and is a predicted model, not a curated record.